GAUUAACGCUGGCGGCGUGCAUAACACAUGCAAGUCGAACGAUGAAACUUUAAUGAACCCUUCGGGGAGAAUUAAAGCGGAUUAGUGGCGAACGGGUGAGUAACGCGUGAGUAACCUGCCUUACACAAGGGGAUAGCCUUUGGAAACGAAGAAUAAUACCCUAUAAAACCAUAAAAGCACAUGCAAUUAUGGUCAAAGUGAUAGCGGUGUAAGAUGGACUUGCGUCUGAUUAGCUAGUUAGUGAGAUAAAAGCCCACCAAGGCAACGAUCAGUAGCCGGCUUGAGAGAGUGUACGGCCACAUUGGGACUGAGACACGGCCCAGACUCCUACGGGAGGCAGCAGUGGGGAAUUUUGCACAAUGGGGGAAACCCUGAUGCAGCGACGCCGCGUGAUUUAGAAGGCCUUCGGGUUGUAAAAAUCUUUUGUAUAGGAAGAAAAUGACAGUACUAUACGAAUAAGGUCCGGCUAAUUACGUG
Molecule: ribosomal RNA, 477 nt
Filed under: uncultured bacterium
Lineage: Bacteria
Description: partial 16S ribosomal RNA
Rfam family: Bacterial small subunit ribosomal RNA
Source: RNAcentral